UACGUAGGGUGCAAGCGUUAAUCGGCAUUACUGGGCGUAAAGCGUGCGCAGGCGGCUUUGCAAGACAGAUGUGAAAUCCCCGGGCUUAACCUGGGAACUGCAUUUGUGACUGCAUGGCUGGAGUGCGGCAGAGGGGGAUGGAAUUCCGCGUGUAGCAGUGAAAUGCGUAGAUAUCUGGAGGAAUACCGGUGGCGAAGGCGGCAUCCUGGACCGACAUUGACGCUGAGGAGCGAAAGCUAGGGGAGCAAACGGG
Molecule: ribosomal RNA, 253 nt
Filed under: uncultured bacterium
Lineage: Bacteria
Description: partial 16S ribosomal RNA
Rfam family: Bacterial small subunit ribosomal RNA
Source: RNAcentral